GAGGGAAAGGCGAAAAGAACCCCGGCGAGGGGAGUGAAAAAGAACCUGAAACCGUGUACGUACAAGCAGUAGGAGCCCCAUCACUCAAGUGCCUCGCACUGAGUGAUGUAAGAACAUCACCGAAAAUAGCGCCGAAUUUGCUAACAAGGUUGGUCGAUUUUUUCAAGCCGUCGCGCAGUGUACCUAGAAGUACACGAGCAACGGAAGUUAAAAAAUCGGGCAAGAUUGAACGCAAAGGCAAGCGGGACAUUUGAGGAUGGGGUGACUGCGUACCUUUUGUAUAAUGGGUCAGCGACUUAUAUUCUGUAGCAAGGUUAACCGUAUAGGGGAGCC
This 333-nucleotide ribosomal RNA is filed under the name Proteus mirabilis. RNAcentral describes it as "partial 23S ribosomal RNA". It matches the Rfam family "Bacterial large subunit ribosomal RNA", at positions 505 to 667 of the family's 2925-position model. Lineage: Bacteria; Pseudomonadati; Pseudomonadota; Gammaproteobacteria; Enterobacterales; Morganellaceae. The record is from RNAcentral.